UGAACGCUGGCGGCAGGCCUAACACAUGCAAGUCGAACGGUAACAGGAAGCAGCUUGCUGCUUCGCUGACGAGUGGCGGACGGGUGAGUAAUGUCUGGGAAACUGCCUGAUGGAGGGGGAUAACUACUGGAAACGGUAGCUAAUACCGCAUAACGUCGCAAGACCAAAGAGGGGGACCUUCGGGCCUCUUGCCAUCGGAUGUGCCCAGAUGGGAUUAGCUAGUAGGUGGGGUAACGGCUCACCUAGGCGACGAUCCCUAGCUGGUCUGAGAGGAUGACCAGCCACACUGGAACUGAGACACGGUCCAGACUCCUACGGGAGGCAGCAGUGGGGAAUAUUGCACAAUGGGCGCAAGCCUGAUGCAGCCAUGCCGCGUGUAUGAAGAAGGCCUUCGGGUUGUAAAGUACUUUCAGCGGGGAGGAAGGCGAUAAGGUUAAUAACCUUGUCGAUUGACGUUACCCGCAGAAGAAGCACCGGCUAACUCCGUGCCAGCAGCCGCGGUAAUACGGAGGGUGCAAGCGUUAAUCGGAAUUACUGGGCGUAAAGCGCACGCAGGCGGUCUGUCAAGUCGGAUGUGAAAUCCCCGGGCUCAACCUGGGAACUGCAUUUCGAAACUGGCAGGCUAGAGUCUUGUAGAGGGGGGUAGAAUUCCGGUGUAGCGGUGAAAUGCGUAGAGAUCUGGAGGAAUACCGGUGGCGAAGGCGGCCCCCUGGACAAAGACUGACGCUCAGGUGCGAAAGCGUGGGGAGCAAACAGGAUAGAUACCCUGGUAGUCCACGCCGUAAACGAUGUCGACUUGGAGGUUGUGCCCCUGAGGCGUGGCUUCCGGAGCUAACGCGUUAAGUCGACCGCCUGGGGAGUACGGCCGCAAGGUUAAAACUCAAAUGAAUUGACGGGGGCCCGCACAAGCGGUGGAGCAUGUGGUUUAAUUCGAUGCAACGCGAAGAACCUUACCUACUCUUGACAUCCAGAGAACUUUCCAGAGAUGGAUUGGUGCCUUCGGGAACUCUGAGACAGGUGCUGCAUGGCUGUCGUCAGCUCGUGUUGUGAAAUGUUGGGUUAAGUCCCGCAACGAGCGCAACCCUUAUCCUUUGUUGCCAGCGGUUAGGCCGGGAACUCAAAGGAGACUGCCAGUGAUAAACUGGAGGAAGGUGGGGAUGACGUCAAGUCAUCAUGGCCCUUACGAGUAGGGCUACACACGUGCUACAAUGGCGCAUACAAAGAGAAGCGACCUCGCGAGAGCAAGCGGACCUCAUAAAGUGCGUCGUAGUCCGGAUUGGAGUCUGCAACUCGACUCCAUGAAGUCGGAAUCGCUAGUAAUCGUGGAUCAGAAUGCCACGGUGAAUACGUUCCCGGGCCUUGUACACACCGCC
Molecule: ribosomal RNA, 1373 nt
Filed under: uncultured bacterium
Lineage: Bacteria
Description: 16S ribosomal RNA
Rfam family: Bacterial small subunit ribosomal RNA
Source: RNAcentral